AAACUUUUAGUAUAAUAAAGUAUUUUUAAUUGCAAAUUAAAAGGUUAAAAGUUUU
Molecule: transfer RNA, 55 nt
Filed under: Cylicostephanus goldi
Lineage: Eukaryota; Metazoa; Nematoda; Chromadorea; Rhabditida; Strongylidae
Description: tRNA-Cys
Source: RNAcentral